ACAUCCAUUUUAAUUUCCUGUACUAUACUGAAAAGUAUAUAUUUUCUUGCCAAGUAAGACUAUGUAAGACUGUGGGAAAUCCAGUAUGGUGGUCGGGAGUAUGGGCUGGGAACUCAGCUGAUGCUCUGAGUAUUAUUUGUUGUGGAAUCCUGGGUCUUUCUUUAACCUUUCCCAGCCACAGUUCCUCAUCUAUAACAUGGAGAUGGAGUAGGGCUUUCAUGAAAUUUAGACAACAGGCUCAACACAGAACAAGGGAACGAUAAGUAGCAGGUUUAAUGUUUACAAAAGGAGACUGGAAAGAGACGGCAUAGAAAGGAAUGGGUAAUGCAGGUGUGGUAGAAAGCGCCUUGCUGGGAGUGGGGCCACUAAGAUCAAUAUGUCAAUAUUUAAAACGCAGUUGUAUUUUUACACAGGAUCAAUAAGUAAACUGGAAGCGAAAUUAAGAAAACCAUUCCAUUUACAGUAGCAUCAAAAGAACAAAAUAUUUAGGAAUAAGUUUAACAAUAAUGUACAGUUUAUAUUCUGAAAACUACAGAAAAUUGUUGAAAGAAAUUAAAGAUGAUUUAAAUAAAUGGAAAGACAACCCAGGUUCAUGGUUUGGAAGACUUAAUAUUAUUGACAUUUGCUCUCCAAAUUGAUCUACACAUUCAAUUUACUCUCAAGAUCCUGUUCAAGAUGGGAGAUCAAAUCCCCAAUUAAACUUAAGAUGGCUGUAGGUCAGUGUGGCCAGUUUUUCUAAGACAGGAAAGCCAAGAAAACCUUAAACUUAAAGGACUUUGUUAAAGGGGAAUGAUUUGAAAAAUAGUUAGGACCAUCCCCAAAGGUGUAGUAACUUCAUUGUAAUCUAAUUAAUACAACCCCCUGUCUCCCCAUCUAAUCUUAUCCCUUUGAAUCUAUGGAGCCCUACACAGGGUACUUUGAGCCUGGUGCCUUCUGGAUGCCCCCUACUUGACUGAAACAAACUCAGGUAUCACCAGAAGAGCCUUGUAACAAAAACAGGCGGGUCUAGGAGUUACAAGACCUGGGUUAGAAUUCCUGUAUGUGCAAGCUUGGCCAACUCAACUUCGUUGAUCCUGUUUCCCUCACUUAUAGGAAAGGAUCAUUCAGUGGUGCACUGGUAAAUGUUUAACCAUCAGCUCUCCGUUUGCCAGUUUCUGUGGUGUAAAUACUCUCACCCCAGCCAAUUUCCAGCCACCAGUGAGUUGGGAAUAGAUAUGCACAACUAGCUCUCAUGAGCUGGUAACUGCCAGCUCCAGCAACACCUCUUAAUACUUAGGUUACAGGGUUUUUAAGAUGAUUAAAUGUGAACUGUAUGAAAAAUAAUUAGUGGAGUGCUUUAGUAGAGCAUCAGUAAGUAAAUACCUAUUGGGUGAGGUGCUCAGAAAGGAGGCAUUUAUUUUGGGCCCACUCCGAGGGGUGAAGCUUAGGCUGGUUCACUGGGAGAAAAGCUGGUGGGCUGGGGAACGGAAGUAUGAGAAAGAGAAUGAAACUGAGCUCUUAUCUCAAUAUCGGUAUCUGGGAGGGCAUUGAGGGUAGCAUCUUCCUGAAGGAAGUUCUGUGAUUUCUGGAGCCUAGUGGGCCGCUGGUUAUUUAUGGCAGGGGUUCUCAAACUUUAUCAUGCCUUAGAAUUUUCUGGAGUAUUUGCUAAAACAGAUUGCUGGGUUGUAACUGCAGAGUUUCUGAUCCAGUAGGUAUAGGGUAAAACUGAGUAUUUGCAUUUCCAAGAAAUUCCCAGGUGAUGCUUGACACGCCUGUUUGGGACUCACACCUGGAGAACACCGAAAUUAUAGCAAUGAAGGCUAGGGGGCUAGAGAUGGAGUAUUCUCUGUCUUGGCGGGUAUCUCUGGCUCUCUUUCUCCAGGGUUCAGGGCUCCAUAUUCCUCCUCUUGCCUCUCUGUGCUGCUUUGGCAAAAAUGAUUUCUUUUAUUUGGCAAAAAUGAACUGCGUGUGAUUAUCUCUGAAGGUAAGACAGGGUGAUUUAUAUGAGUUCAUUUGUCAUUUUUCUUGAACAAUGAUUACAAAUUUCCUGUGGAGGACAGUUACAGCUGCAAAGAUGUUGUGUUCUUUGCCAUGAACAGCUUUCUACCUAGGACUUCACUGGGGAACCAGGCUGGGCAAGGGACUUGGGAGAGAAUGGAUCACCAGGAAGUAUGAGGACUGGUGAACAGUCAGAUCCUGGGGCUGUGCUGUCCAUAUCAGCCACAUGUGGCUUUUACAAUUUCAUUCAAAGUAGAUAAAGUCUGGAGUUCCCUGGUGGCCUAGCAGUUAGGGAUUCGGUGUUGUCAUUUCUGUGUCUCGGAUUUGAUCCCUGGCUUGGGAACUUCUGCAUGCCAUGGCCAUGGACAAAAAAAUUAAAAAGGAGAUAAAAUCUAAAACUCAUUUCCUUGAUUAUACUAACUACUUUUCAAGUCCUCCAUGAUCACAUGUGGCUAGUGGCUAUCACACAGGAUGGCUCAGAUAGAACCUUCCCACCAUGGCCGGAAGUUCUAUGGGACAGCACUGGUCCAGAGGACGAAUGAAGAGAAGGUGGGGAAGGCUUUGAGGAUGAAGGGAUUGGUGAUAUCCCUCGAGAAAUGAGCUUCUGCCCCAUCCAUAUCAGGCUGGGAAGACUUUGGAGAAACUUUACGCUUCAGACAAUCUGUAGAGACUGCAAAGCUCUUUAAAUUAUAACGUCCCAAAUUGAAAUUAGUCCACGGUGUCCCAGCCCUUAUCCCGCAAAGCUGUUUUGCAGUUAGGGCUCGAAAACCAUGAAUGGCAUUGGAUUGAAUGCUUUGACUGCUUUCAUAGUCAACCCUUUAUUUUUCCUACAGCUUCCUGCUCAGUGCCAUGGCCUUUCUAGGAAGAAGGGUAUGCCAGGAAAUGCAGGUUGGGUGCUCUCAGGCUACCACCCUACUCGGGAAUUGUCUUCCUGUCAGCUGUGUGUGACUGGAUGGUAGGUGAAGGGCUUUUGGCUUGUUUCCACUGAGUCACCAGGACUCGGCUACACUGAUGACAGGGCCUCCCUCCUAGGGGCCCGGCUGUGUCUCAGGAUCCCAUUGGGAGUAGGACAAGAAAGUCUCAGGUAUGCUUGACGUUAUGCAGGUCAGUGUGGUCACACUUAUCCAAAGAAGAGAGGAUCCAAGAAAACCUUGAACAUUUAAGACUUUAAACUGUAUCUCAAAUGACACUGAACUAAUUUGUGCAGCAGAGGCCGUUUUGUUCUGCAGUCAAUUCCCUUCUCUCCCACAUCUUCUAACACUGAUUCUGCCUCCAAAACCCCAGGCCCCACCCCUUUAAAGAAGGUUUAGUUAAUUCCUAAAUUUACAUAUAAUUUUUCUAGUUUUCCCCUCCAAGAUCUUUUUGUUUCUGAUGCUCUACUGCAGCAGUUUUCUCCAGAAAGUUAUUUCAAUGCCUGGGCAAGGAGGAGGGUCUCCAGAUCCUGGAGAUCUGGAGAGUUUAAAUGAAAGUGUAUCCAAAGGAGGCCUCAGGUUUGGAGGAAAGCACUGGGAAGGGCAAAGAGAAGAAGGAACCCAGAUACAUUCUUUGCAAUAGUAAAAGGAUCAUGUAGAAGAAUCCAGGUUUUAAGUGUUUAGGGACGUGGGGCAAUGAAUAAUCAUUCCUUACCUGUACACGAUGAUUCCUGGUUUGUAAAGUUUUUUAAUAUGAUCUUAUUUUGACCCCUCUACAUUCUUGUGAGGUAGUAAGAGCAGGUGGUACUGUUCCUAUUUUACAGAUAAGGAAAAAUUUUCAAAGAGUUCGGCUGGAAUUCAUCCUCUGUCUGCUGGUACCGAAUUAAAAGGCAGAGACAGAUUUUUAGGUAAAGAAGAAAAAAAUAGCUGUAUUGCUUUGCCAGGAAAAGGAGGGUCACAGCAGGCUAAUACCUUAAAGACUGUGCCCCCCCCCCCCUUAGAAAGAAUUGCUAGGAGUUCUAUAGUAAAAAGGAGAAAAACAUGUUUUCAGAUAGGAAUCAGGAUUGGGACAAACAUGCACUCUUCUUUCUUUGGGGGCAUUUUAGGCAUCAAAGCUGGAGUCAGGAGAUGUUCAUGAUGCUGGCUUGGGUUACUGCCUAGAAAAACAGUACUUGUGAAAAGGGCAUAUUGAUCAAAGAAGAGAACAAACAAGGCAUGUGCUAAUAACCUUUAACCCACAGGCAAUUAUGCUCAAGGUGCCUAAUCUUUAGCUUACAGGCAGUGGUGUUUAGGGUGCAAUUAAGUCAGGGAGAAGGACAAGGAAGGACUCUAAGCUGUUCAAUUUUAUUCAUUUCUAAAAGAAGCAUAAGGAAUAUAACUUUUCUCUUAGGUGUAUAAGAUGCCUAUAUUAUUAUGUGUAUUCCUUUUUCCUUGAGAGGGAGCCAGGUUCCUGCCCCAAGGCUGUACUAUUGUUGCUUGACUGUUCCCCUCUUGUCUUUGCAUUCCCUUCCUUCUCUGAUCAGCAACUGUCUGAACCUGUCCCUAGGAACUCAGGGAAGGUCAUGGUGGCUGAAUGAGGCCCGUUUCCUAAGAACAAGAAAUGUGGGACACAGAAAGGAUCUUGUACCCAGGAACCCCACAGGGCCGUGUCUCGUAUCAAGAGUGACAAUUCCAAGAAUCCCACUGCACCCCAAGCCAAUUAAAUCAGGAUUUCUGGAAAUAGGGCUGUCAGUUUUUCAAGCUCUCCAAGUGAUUUCAACAUACAGCCAAACAAAACAGCUCGCCUCUUUAAAACAGUGCUUCUGAAAAUUUGAUAUGCAGAGGAAUCACGUGGGGAAUCUUGUCUGUAAGCCUGCAAUUCUGCCUUUCUAAAGCUCACUCGGGAAAAACAACUGAUCUAAGGAUCACACUUUGAAUGUGCCUGGCUUCAAAGACAUUUUUUGGGGGAAAUUCCGAGUUCUCAUGCAGGCUUCAGUGAAUUCUUAUAGUCCAGAGAUCCAUGUUAGCAGGACACCAAGAUAUGUGGUGGCAAAAUCUCUUGGGAAUCUUAUUUCUUAAAUGCAGGAACAUAUGCAAACAAGAUGAUCAGAAAUCUAGCAGCCACCUUUGGUCAAAUAGCCAAAAAGACAAAAAGCCAAAAAAAAAAAAAAAAAAAGAAAAAGAAAGAAAGAAAAAGCAUUGCAGCAGACAUCCUAAAUUCCUUAGCCCACAUAAUAAUAGAUAAAAGGGUUACCUGUAAUUUUUCUACUGACUAAAGAAGGAGGUAUUGGUGCUAAUAUUCACACUAUUUGUUGCACUUACGUCAUUACCCUUGGAGAGGUUUAGACAUGCUUAGGAAAAAACUUCUCAAAAGACACAACGGGCUCUAAGAUGUAACUUGUAACAUCUUGCUCCUUGACAGAAGGGAAGCUCUAGCCAAGACUGAAGUUCCUGCUACCAAGAGACAAUUGGGAUUCCCAGGAAUAGUGAUUUUCUGCUGCAUUUGGAUUCAUAGCAAAACCCCCUUAUGAAGCUCUUAAGGCAGGAGACUGUGAACCUCUAGAUUGGACUAAGGAAUGCUAUAAGGCACUCCAGGUUAUCAAAGAAAAACUGAUAACUGCUCUAGCUUUAUUUAUUUAUUUUUGGUCUGGUCAGCAGCAUGCAAAAGUUCCUGGGCCAGAGAUUGAACCCGUGCCACAGCGGUUAAAGAUCCAAUGAUAGAUCUUUAACUCCCAGGCCACCAUGGAACUCCUGCCCUGGUUUUAGGUCUUGCAUGUAUCAGAAAGCCUUCUGACUUACUUGUUCAUGAGAUGCAAGGAAUCAGCCUUGGAGCUGUAGCUCAGAACCUGGGUAGCCUAAGGAGGCCUGUUUCAUAUUUCUCAAAGCCAGUAGGUACACUUGCUAAGGGAUGGCCAGUCUGCCUUCAAGCUGUAGUGACUUCUGUGAUCUUUUACAAGAAAUGGAGAAAUUUAUACUAGGACCACCUAUGACUGUGCACCUCACUGUAUUCUCCCCAGCCCACCCUGAACAAAAGAGCAAAUGUGGGUUAACUUCAGGAAGAUUGGGAAAAUAUCAGGCUUAUAUUAUUGGAUAAUUCUACUGUUACUCUAAAAGCAGUCUCUGCCUUGAAUCUUGCCCCUUUGCUCCGGAUGGAUACUAAAGUGCCUAUACAUGGUGGUAUUCGGAUAAUCAAACAGGUCUAUUCCAGCCAUUCAACCUGAUGGAUUGGCCUUUGGAAGACCCUUUUCCAGACCUUGAGGUGUUCAUAAACAGGAGUAGCUUUAUGGACCAGGAAUGACACAAGCCUGGGUAGAUGAUGGUGACUGAUCAAGACACUGGAAGCAGAAGCCCUUCCACCAGGUACCUCCACACAAAAGGCGGAACUUAAAGCCCCACCAAAGCCCUCUCUCAAGAUAAGGGUAAGAGUAAUUAUUUUCACUGAUUGUGAAUUUACUUUAUUGGUGGUCCAUUCCUGUGGGACCUUUGGAAGAAAGAAGACUUUUCAAUGCAGGGAAGAAGGAAAUUAAACAUGCCAAAGAAAUUUUAAACUUAUUAGAAACUAUCAUGGAGCAAAAAGAAUUGGCUAUUGUUUGCUGUCCCGGAUGUCAGAAAUUGACUGCUUAAGGGAAUAAUCCAGCAGAUUAAAUGGCAAAGCUAGCAGCCAUGACUAAAACACAUAGAUCUGCGAUUUGACAAGAGGCUAUCCAGAGUAUUCUCCUGAAGAUUUAGAAAAUGCCAGUGAAUGGGGAUUGAUGGGCAUCCUGGCCAUUUUCAGGAUGACAACUUAGAAGUAUACCAAGGAGGGGUAGAUUUAUAAUAGAUGAGGCAAAGUCCUUUUAUCUGAACAGCUUGUGGAAGAUGUAAUAAACUGUAAACACCAGAGUACCCACUAUGGGAGAAAUGCCACCCUCCAGUGGAUUCAUAAGUUCAUUUUAGGACAAGAAAUGCAAAGGAUAAUUCAAAAGAUGAUACAGAAAUGCAUCGAUGGGCUAAAAAUAAUCCUAAUACUGAGCUGCCAAAGGAAUGGACCCAGCAGAAGACUGGCAGGUGGUACUGCGAUGCCAGGAGCCACUAGAAAUCUUGAGUGCUUACAAGUAUUUGUGGACACUUGUCCUGGUUGAGGCAGAAGCAUUCCUUUAUCGGACUGAAAAAAGCUUCUGAGGUUGUUAAUGGCCCACCAAAGGAAACAAUUCUGAGGUUUGGGUUACCUGUAUCCAUACCAAGUAACAAUUGGAGAUUCUUUUUAGCAAGAAUGACUCGAGAAGUACCUAGAGCCUUAAACCUUCAUCAGAAAUUACAUACUUCUUGGUGAUCCCAAUCUACUGGCAAAAUGGAAAAGAUGAAUCAUACUCUUAAAAAGGAUGUAGCUAAAAUAUGUCAGUCUAAUUUAACCUGGGAUAAGGCCUUACUGGUUGCCCUGCUUCAAGUGAAGAUGGCUCAUAGAAGCUCCAGUUGAGCCCCUAUAAAAUUCUGUAUGGGAGACCCUUCUAUUUUUCAGAAAUGGUUUAGGAAAUCCAGAAGAAACUCAAGGAACUAGACACUGUCAAGUAUGUACAAUCACAGAGACCCACUCUAACUGCUGCAAUUUGCUUCUAGCAGGUUGGUAUUUCUCAUGGAUAUGCCCCUCCACCACUUCUGUCCUAGAAACUGGGUCUUGCUAAAAUCUUGGGAGAGAAAAACAUCCAGAAGACCACCUUCAUCCCUGUUGGACUGGACCUUAUGAGGUGCUAUUCGUGACCCAUUCCUUGGUGAAGAUGAAGGGAAUUAAGCCACAGAUUCAUCGCACUUGAGUUAAGCCGGUCUAGCAGAGAUCAGCCUAGACAAGAAUGCAACAGGAAAGGGAAACCAUGCUGCAGAACAGAACCAGAAUUGAGAACAUCCAAACCUUGGCUUCUUCUGCACCCCUGAUACUGACUUUCCUGAGUGGAAAAGUGAAGCCCUUAAAUGCUUUCCAGGAGGAAGACUCAAAAGAAAUUGAGGCUUGGAAAGACUCUCAGUGACAGGGAUUUCUCAGACUUUGGCCAAACCCCUGUUAGGUCUGCAUCCCUUAUCAUCAGGAAAUAGCCAGAGUAUCAUCAGCCCUCUUCCUUCAAGAUUGAGGAAUGAUCAAAAUAUGGGGGAACUGAAGCCAAAGGAAAAGGAGGAUGUUUGCUGUUCAUUCACUUGAGCACCGACUGCUCUUCCCUGAUCUUGGCUGAUUCUAGCGCUGCUCCUUUGCUGCUAGCACCUGAGCCAUGGCCUCAGGCUUGCCCUGUCCUACACUACUCCUCCUAUCUGAAGAUGGAGAAACAGGAAUGCUCUCUGCCUCUCAUACCUGCCAGGUACUCCCCUUGGCCGGCAAGCUACCCAAACUCAGGUGGGGCAAUAUCCAGUAAGUCAUGUCCCCACUGUGGGGGGCAGCUGAUGGGAUUGAUCUGGGUCCAUUCCCCCUUUUCAACUUUGUAUUUAUUUAAUUAAAAACCAAUAGGCCAAUGUAGAUAAUACUAUCCAUGCUCCUUGGAUCAUCUCUCUCUCUUUUUUUUUUUUGUAACCCACAACCCAACCUGGGCAGAUGUUCAGAAUUUAUUAAAUAUCUUCUUCACUUCAGAAGAAUGUAGAAUGGUUUUGGAUAAUGCGAGGAAGGAGGCAGAUGGGCUUCAUACAGAAUAAACCCUGGAC
Sus scrofa (pig) is the source of this 8525-nucleotide non-coding RNA. The record is from RefSeq and is a predicted model, not a curated record. NCBI's taxonomy places the organism in Eukaryota, Metazoa, Chordata, Mammalia, Artiodactyla, Suidae.